UCCCUGGUGGCUCAGACAGUAAAGAAUCUGCCUGCAGUGCAGGAGACCCAGGUUCAAUCCCUGGGUGAGGAA
RNAcentral lists this transfer RNA (72 nucleotides) under Bos taurus (domestic cattle). It matches the Rfam family "tRNA". Rfam says of the family: Transfer RNA (tRNA) molecules are approximately 80 nucleotides in length. Their secondary structure includes four short double-helical elements and three loops (D, anti-codon, and T loops). RNAcentral also lists the same sequence under 3 other names. Lineage: Eukaryota; Metazoa; Chordata; Mammalia; Artiodactyla; Bovidae. The record is from Rfam by way of RNAcentral.